This 337-nucleotide long non-coding RNA is filed under the name Panax ginseng (ginseng). Its description in RNAcentral is "long non-coding RNA (PGIN_LNC011513)". Lineage: Eukaryota; Viridiplantae; Streptophyta; Magnoliopsida; Apiales; Araliaceae. The record is from RNAcentral.
AAAAUUUCAAUUCCAAUUUCAUGUUCAAAAGAAAAUAAGAACACUGUAUAGGAAAGAGAGAGAUAAGAGAAUGAUGUGUAAUGUAAUGUUGAUAACCAAACCUUCGUACCAAGAUAACCAAAUUAUUAUACCAAUGUAACCAAACCUUUAUACCAAGGUAACUAAUCUACCUCCACACAUGCAGUAUGAAUUGGUUACUUUGGUCUGAAAGUUUGACAACCAACAACAUAAAGGUUUGGCUACCAACUGCAUCACAUUCAAAAUAAAUUGGUAACUUAAUAAAACUGAAUUGGUUACCUUGGUAUGAAGAUUUGGCUACCCACUGCAUAAAUGUUUG